This 197-nucleotide unclassified non-coding RNA is filed under the name plant metagenome. RNAcentral's name for it is "partial contains small subunit ribosomal RNA and internal transcribed spacer 1". The stretch from base 1 to 46 matches the Rfam family "Eukaryotic small subunit ribosomal RNA", at positions 1786 to 1831 of the family's 1831-position model. The record is from RNAcentral.
AAGUCGUAACAAGGUCUCCGUAGGUGAACCUGCGGAGGGAUCAUUACUGAGUGAGGGCCCCCGGCCCGACCUCCAAACCCUUUGUAAACCGACCCUGUUGCCUCGGGGGACUCCGGCGUCUUCGGGCGCCGGGCCCCCGGUGGACCCCCCAACUCUGCGUCUUUGCGUCUGAGUCUUGAAUGAUAAAUCAAUUAAAA